This 404-nucleotide ribosomal RNA is filed under the name uncultured bacterium. RNAcentral's name for it is "bacterial SSU rRNA". It matches the Rfam family "Bacterial small subunit ribosomal RNA", at positions 355 to 776 of the family's 1533-position model. The record is from RNAcentral.
UGGGGGAUAUUGGACAAUGGGGGAAACCCUGAUCCAGCGAUGCCGCGUGAGGGAAGAAGGUUUUCGGAUUGUAAACCUCUGUGGAGGGGGACGAUAAUGACGGUACCCCUUUAGGAAGCCACGGCUAACUACGUGCCAGCAGCCGCGGUAAUACGUAGGUGGCGAGCGUUGUCCGGAAUUACUGGGUGUAAAGGGAGUGUAGGCGGGAAAGCAAGUCAGAAGUGAAAACUAUGGGCUUAACCCAUAGCCUGCUUUUGAAACUGUUUUUCUUGAGUGAAGUAGAGGCAAGCGGAAUUCCUAGUGUAGCGGUGAAAUGCGUAGAUAUUAGGAGGAACACCAGUGGCGAAGGCGGCUUGCUGGGCUUUUACUGACGCUGAGGCUCGAAAGCGUGGGGAGCAAACAGG